This 133-nucleotide small nucleolar RNA is filed under the name Eucalyptus grandis. Its description in RNAcentral is "small nucleolar RNA snoR137". It matches the Rfam family "small nucleolar RNA snoR137". Lineage: Eukaryota; Viridiplantae; Streptophyta; Magnoliopsida; Myrtales; Myrtaceae. The record is from Rfam by way of RNAcentral.
GUUGCUUCCUAACGGCAAACUCCCUCUAAUCAUAGAUGAGGGAUUAUUCAAGUUUCCGAAGCAUAAAUCGAACAAUUUCAAUCAAUUUUAAAUAACGUCAAUGCAUCAGCGCUCCGUAUCUGCUGAUAUAUUA